Non-coding RNA from Heterocephalus glaber (naked mole-rat), 444 nucleotides. NCBI's taxonomy places the organism in Eukaryota, Metazoa, Chordata, Mammalia, Rodentia, Bathyergidae. The record is from RefSeq and is a predicted model, not a curated record.
ACACAGCACAGUUCAUAUUUCUUGUUCUAAUGACUCCCCUCCCAGUUCUACUUAAUUAAAGCUAGGAGAGGGGGGCUGGGGAAGAUAAUUAGGGAGGUCUCCAGCCGCUGCUUAAUGAGCCAGUAAUUAACCAGCCGGGGAGGGGAGCUGGCCUCUGGCCAGCCUGGGGAAGCCCGGCCUCCAGCCUCACCUUCCUGCCCGCCCCGCAGCACCCCCAGACACCAGCAGUCCUCAGGCCGGAGAGUAAUCACAUUUAUUCGUGCAACCCAGACUUCGUUCAGACGGGCUCGGAGCAGCAGUGGGAGGCAGGCAGGGAGGGAAACUGGGGCUCGUCUCAGCAUCCUGAACUCUUUCCAGCGCUGCAGUUUUUCUACGUGGAAGAGGACACCUUCUUUGGUCGGCAAACACCGAUUUCCGGAGGGAAAUAUAACUGAGGACCCCUCA